RNAcentral lists this ribosomal RNA (1489 nucleotides) under Lactiplantibacillus plantarum. RNAcentral's name for it is "bacterial SSU rRNA". It matches the Rfam family "Bacterial small subunit ribosomal RNA". Lineage: Bacteria; Bacillati; Bacillota; Bacilli; Lactobacillales; Lactobacillaceae. The record is from RNAcentral.
GACGAACGCUGGCGGCGUGCCUAAUACAUGCAAGUCGAACGAACUCUGGUAUUGAUUGGUGCUUGCAUCAUGAUUUACAUUUGAGUGAGUGGCGAACUGGUGAGUAACACGUGGGAAACCUGCCCAGAAGAGGGGGAUAACACCUGGAAACAGAUGCUAAUACCGCAUAACAACUUGGACCGCAUGGUCCGAGUUUGAAAGAUGGCUUCGGCUAUCACUUUUGGAUGGUCCCGCGGCGUAUUAGCUAGAUGGUGAGGUAACGGCUCACCAUGGCAAUGAUACGUAGCCGACCUGAGAGGGUAAUCGGCCACAUUGGGACUGAGACACGGCCCAAACUCCUACGGGAGGCAGCAGUAGGGAAUCUUCCACAAUGGACGAAAGUCUGAUGGAGCAACGCCGCGUGAGUGAAGAAGGGUUUCGGCUCGUAAAACUCUGUUGUUAAAGAAGAACAUAUCUGAGAGUAACUGUUCAGGUAUUGACGGUAUUUAACCAGAAAGCCACGGCUAACUACGUGCCAGCAGCCGCGGUAAUACGUAGGUGGCAAGCGUUGUCCGGAUUUAUUGGGCGUAAAGCGAGCGCAGGCGGUUUUUUAAGUCUGAUGUGAAAGCCUUCGGCUCAACCGAAGAAGUGCAUCGGAAACUGGGAAACUUGAGUGCAGAAGAGGACAGUGGAACUCCAUGUGUAGCGGUGAAAUGCGUAGAUAUAUGGAAGAACACCAGUGGCGAAGGCGGCUGUCUGGUCUGUAACUGACGCUGAGGCUCGAAAGUAUGGGUAGCAAACAGGAUUAGAUACCCUGGUAGUCCAUACCGUAAACGAUGAAUGCUAAGUGUUGGAGGGUUUCCGCCCUUCAGUGCUGCAGCUAACGCAUUAAGCAUUCCGCCUGGGGAGUACGGCCGCAAGGCUGAAACUCAAAGGAAUUGACGGGGGCCCGCACAAGCGGUGGAGCAUGUGGUUUAAUUCGAAGCUACGCGAAGAACCUUACCAGGUCUUGACAUACUAUGCAAAUCUAAGAGAUUAGACGUUCCCUUCGGGGACAUGGAUACAGGUGGUGCAUGGUUGUCGUCAGCUCGUGUCGUGAGAUGUUGGGUUAAGUCCCGCAACGAGCGCAACCCUUAUUAUCAGUUGCCAGCAUUAAGUUGGGCACUCUGGUGAGACUGCCGGUGACAAACCGGAGGAAGGUGGGGAUGACGUCAAAUCAUCAUGCCCCUUAUGACCUGGGCUACACACGUGCUACAAUGGAUGGUACAACGAGUUGCGAACUCGCGAGAGUAAGCUAAUCUCUUAAAGCCAUUCUCAGUUCGGAUUGUAGGCUGCAACUCGCCUACAUGAAGUCGGAAUCGCUAGUAAUCGCGGAUCAGCAUGCCGCGGUGAAUACGUUCCCGGGCCUUGUACACACCGCCCGUCACACCAUGAGAGUUUGUAACACCCAAAGUCGGUGGGGUAACCUUUUAGGUACCAGCCGCCUAAGGUGGGACAGAUGAUUAGGGUG